AAUAUAUCGGAACGUGCCCAGUCGUGGGGGAUAACGUAGCGAAAGCUACGCUAAUACCGCAUACGAUCUAUGGAUGAAAGCGGGGGAUCGCAAGACCUCGCGCGAUUGGAGCGGCCGAUAUCAGAUUAGGUAGUUGGUGAGGUAAAGGCUCACCAAGCCGACGAUCUGUAGCUGGUUUGAGAGAACGACCAGCCACACUGGGACUGAGACACGGCCCAGACUCCUACGGGAGGCAGCAGUGGGGAAUUUUGGACAAUGGGCGAAAGCCUGAUCCAGCAAUGCCGCGUGCAGGAAGAAGGCCUUCGGGUUGUAAACUGCUUUUGUACGGAACGAAAAGGCUCUUUCUAAUAAAGAGGGCCCAUGACGGUACCGUAAGAAUAAGCACCGGCUAACUACGUG
Molecule: ribosomal RNA, 399 nt
Filed under: uncultured bacterium
Lineage: Bacteria
Description: bacterial SSU rRNA
Rfam family: Bacterial small subunit ribosomal RNA
Source: RNAcentral